Non-coding RNA from Paramuricea clavata, 550 nucleotides. Lineage: Eukaryota; Metazoa; Cnidaria; Anthozoa; Malacalcyonacea; Plexauridae. The record is from the annotation of a GenBank genome assembly.
CGAAAAUUGUUUUCUAAGCGACUUUUUGGCCUUGGGAAUACGGACUAACCGUUCAAUAAAGGUCACUUAACUAGUAUUUAUAUUAUGAAAUUUUCGGGACUUUGCCACAUGACCGCUUAACAAAGGGUGACCGCUUAAUACGGUGCCGCUUAAUACAGGUUCGACUGUAUACUAAAUCUAUAUAUUGUGAAUUUACAGUGUCAGACGCGCACAGACUGUCAUACGAAUAAACAUAAAUUUUCGAGUUUUCUACUUCUACUAACAUUUGUAAAGUUUUCAUUGUGAAUCAUCUGUUUAUUUCUAGUUCAUUAGUCAUUAAUAUGCUCUAAAAAACAAGGCUCUCGAAUAUAUUUGUACAUUUAUUUGAUAGUGUCAUAGUCAUAUAUGCAUUUACAAGCAAUCCUGGAUAUGAUAAAGACGAUACAAGCUGUCCAUUAAAAAAUAACGGGAUUCUAUUCCACAAAGAAAAAUAUUUAAAUCUCACUUGUAUUAUUAAGAAUAUAUAUAAAGCAAAAAAUUUAAACUUGUGUGAGUUGUGUCAAAACGAAAG